UAGGGAAUCUUCCACAAAGGGCGAAAGCCUGAUGGAGCAACGCCGCGUGUGUGAUGAAGGGUUUCGGCUCGUAAAACACUGUUGUAAGAGAAGAAUGACAUUGAGAGUAACUGUUCAAUGUGUGACGGUAUCUUACCAGAAAGGAACGGCUAAAUACGUGCCAG
Molecule: ribosomal RNA, 164 nt
Filed under: uncultured bacterium
Lineage: Bacteria
Description: partial 16S rRNA
Rfam family: Bacterial small subunit ribosomal RNA
Source: RNAcentral